GAAAGUAAAAGUCGUAACAAGGUCUCCGUAGGUGAACCUGCGGAGGGAUCAUUACAGAGUUCAUGCCCUACCGGGUAGAUCUCCCACCCUAUGUUAUUAUUACUUUGUUGCUUUGGCGGGCCGUUAGGCUCCGGCCCGACUACCGGCCCCGGCUGGUAAGCGCCCGCCAGAGGACCCAAAACCCUGAAUAUUAGUGUCGUCUGAGUACUAUGUAAUAGUUAAAACUUUCAACAACGGAUCUCUUGGUUCUG
RNAcentral lists this unclassified non-coding RNA (251 nucleotides) under plant metagenome. Its description in RNAcentral is "partial contains small subunit ribosomal RNA, internal transcribed spacer 1, and 5.8S ribosomal RNA". The stretch from base 1 to 54 matches the Rfam family "Eukaryotic small subunit ribosomal RNA", at positions 1778 to 1831 of the family's 1831-position model. The record is from RNAcentral.